This 10989-nucleotide long non-coding RNA is filed under the name Malus domestica (apple). RNAcentral describes it as "long non-coding RNA (MDOM_LNC006135)". The record is from RNAcentral. Lineage: Eukaryota; Viridiplantae; Streptophyta; Magnoliopsida; Rosales; Rosaceae.
GAAACUUGCCCGACAGUCGCUCCUUGGUACAAAAACAUGACAUUGCUAGCAUCAAACUUGUAAGGACCCCAAUUUGUGUUCUUGACACUGAUUUGGGUUGUGAAUUUUGUGUCGAAUGAAGGUGUUGUUGGGACAGAGUUGAGUUCUUGUACGUUGAUGUUCCCUAGCCGGACCUUGAGUGUCUUCACUUUCAUCACAGUAAGGCUAAUCACAGUAAUGACGAUGAUCUGAAACACAAUGAAAAUAGCAACAUAGAUGGCCAAUUUGAUUCUCUUCUUGCGUUUGAGCUCGUCAGUGGAUAGCAACCACUCAGCAUCACUUCUUUGUAACCAUGGUUUGCUGGUGCUGAAGGAUAAGUUGAGUGCAUCCAAUUAUGGUGGAAAACAAGCCGACGACAUUGUCCAUUAUGGAUAUAAGUAGAAACCUUAGAUUUCAAAAACUUCUGCAUAGACAUAGGAAUAGCCAAAGCAUCUAUAAUAGGCUCAGUUAACCAAACUGCAUAACCGAGACCUUUUGUUAUAAAAAUCACACCUAAUAAUAGGUGGUUAAGUUUGCGGGACAAUGUCUGUAGAAAGCUUAUCAUAGUGUUCGAGCAUGUUAUUAGGGAUAGAGAAGGUCCAUUGGCGAGUCCUUGCACUGAGAAGUAGUGCUUCUAAUGCAGCGUAGGAAAUGGAAGUCUCUCUGGCUUGAAUAGAGGCAACGGUAUUUUCAUACAGAGGGCCAACGUUGUUCAUAAUUGUGGUAAUAAGGUCAGCAUCAGAUAUGGGCGAACUAGAAGGGCAAGUUAGUCAGCCAAAGCGUUGAUUUUAUCUAGAAAAUCAGCGAUGCAGUGAUCACCACGACAAAGAUUGAGAAGCACACCUCAAAGUGGAAUAACCCUAUUGUGGGAGGAAGGACCAUAUCGCUCUUGAAGAGCAUUCCAUGCCUCAGCAGCAUUGAUACAUUUCACUAUUAAAUGUUGAAAAAUAAAAAGAAAGUAUUUUAGGAUAUGAUUUAAUCAGUGAUUUUAUAUGAUUUAAUUAGGGCUUUGAUAUGAUUUGAUUUGGUUUAAGUUUCCUUGUCUUGUAGAAAAAGGAUUGUUUUGAUUUAUUUCUUAGUAUUGCUUUUUUGUAAUCUUAUAAAUACCUCCUUAUGGAGAAGAAUAAAAUAUUGAAGUUGUUAUUCGAGAAUCGUGAGAUUGUAGAUAAUUCUUAAAUUUGUCCUAAACCCUUUAUUUUCAACUUGGUAUCAGAGUAAAGUUUGAUUCUUGGUUGAAUUUUGCUGUGAGAGCUUCCUUGUGGGUGCGCGAGGCUAAUUUUCUUCAUGCACCCACAUGCCAUGAAUUUGAGGGUGAAGAUUGUCUACGAUUGUUAGAAGAAAACAAAUUUUCGCUACCAUGAACAAGAGAAAAUGGAAGAAAAAGGUAUGGUUUUGUUCCCUUGGAGAAGAGAUUAGCAAAAAAAAUAAAAAUUUAGUCAUGGUAGGAUCUGUUUCCUAUCAUGGGUGUUUUUUUGUAUUUUAUUUUAUUUUUUCUAGUAAGUUUAGUUUGUUUUUGAGUUUGAAGAAGAGAAAAAAUAAAAACGAAAAAAAAAUGAGAAAAAAGAUAUUAAAAAAAAAAGAUUUGGUGGUUGGGGCUUCUGGAAAGAGGCGUUAGUUUUUUUGGGCUUUUGAAAAGAUUAGCAUUUGUUCCAACUGGACUUUCGAAAAGAGGCGUUAGUUCCAACAUAUCAAGAGAUUUAUUUAUCUGGCUUUCCAAAAAAGACGUUAGCUCUAAUUGGGCUUUCGAAAAGAUUAGCAUUAGUUUUAGUUGGGCAUUCGAAAAAAGGCGUUAGUUCCGAGGAUUAUGAUUUGUUAGUCGGGCAUUCGAAAAGAGGCAUUUGUUCUAGUUGGGCUUACGAAAAGAUAGGCACUAGUUCUAGUCGUACAUUCGAAAAGAGGCAUUAGUUAUGUCGGAUUGUGAUUUGUUGAGCUUUCAAAAAGAUUGAAAUUAGUUUUAGCAUGUAAAUGAAGAUUUCACAUCAUGAGUUUGAGGGGGGGGUGUUGGAAAAUAAAAAGAAAAGUAUUUUAAGAUUUGAUUUAAUUAGUGAUUUUAUUUGAUCUAAUUAGGGUUUUGAUAUGAUUUGAUUUGGUCUAGGUUUCCUUGUCUUGUAGAAAAAUGAUUUUUUUUAAUUUAUUUCCUAGUAUUGCUCUUUUGUAAUCUUAUAAAUACCUCCUUAUGGAGAAAAAUAAAAUAUUGAAGUUGUUAUUCGAGAAUCGUGAGAUUGUAGAGAAUACUUAAAUUUGUCCUAAACCCUUUAUUUUCAAUUUGGUAUCAGAGCAGAGUUUGAUUCUUAGUUUGAACUUUGCUGCAAGCGCUUCUCUAUGGGUGCACGAAGCUAAUUUUCUUCGUGCACUCACCAGCCAUGAACCUGAGGGUGAAGAAUAUCUACUAUUGUUAGAAGAAGAUAAAUUUCUGCUGCCAUGAGGAAGAAAAGAAAGAAAAGAAGAACAAAAAAAGAACAAGAAGAACAAAAAAAGAAUUGUAGAAAAAAAAAAGAAAAAAAAAAGAGAGAUUUAGUGGUUGGAGACAGUAUCGGUGUUGUUCGAAAUGGGCCCUAGGUUUGUCUCUCUGAUAAUUCUAUAUGGUAUUAGAGCCAGGGAACAGGCUAGUAAUGUACUGCCACGUGAUGGAUGGGUCUGCUUGGCCCCACACAAUGAUGAUGGGUUCCUUGCCCCGCAUGUAGGGUGAGUCCCCUUGGUUGUCGAUAUGCGGAUCUUACACGUGUGACCUACUAAUUGGGUCCCACGUGAUGAGGCGUGUUGAAAUUUCCCACAUUGACCUAGCUAUGAGAAAAUAAGAGUUUAAAUAUUCUAACCUCACUCUAACUAACACUAAGGCCUUUUGUAAUAAAACCUCUCACCUGACGGAUUGUGCAGGUGAUAAUUACCAAGUUGGGAACAAUAUCGAUGUUGUUGAAAGUAGGUCAUCGGCCAGUCUCUCUGAUCUACCACUAGAGAACCCUCUGGUCUGGUUGAAUCCAGGGUUCGAAAAAGAAUUAAUCUCAUCUGUGAGUUGGCCUUCUGUGUCUAAAGGAAAGCCGGAUGACAUUAAGAGGUUCCAUUAUCGAUGAAUCGUAGAAAGCUAUGAAUGCAUUGCAAUGAUAUAAAUUGUUCCUCCAUAGGGAUAGUUAUGUCCAUCGAGUUUGAGAGGUAAGAAAUGUGACACAUGUUGUGCUAGGAUAGCACCAAACCCGUUGGAACCAGCUCAAGCUAACCCACAAGAAAUAUAUAAAAUGGAAUGCAAAAACAAAAUAUAAAGGACACCAAGAUUUUAACGAGGUUCCUCAACAGUCAGUGUAACUGGAGUACGUCCUCGAAGCAGUAGAAGCUCACCCAAUAAUCCACUAUCAACCAAAUGGGAGUUUACAAAGUGUUGGCAAGCUCACAACCCAAAACCCCAAUACAACCAAUAGCUCUCACACACCAAAGAAACAAAUAAAGAAAGAAAUAUUGUGAAUAAUUUCUUCUCUAUACAAAGCUCAAAGCUAUUACAACAACAACUCCCUUGGUGGGUGAAAACUAACCAAAGAGAAGAGCACAUUCUUCUUCUCUUCAAAGAGGGGCUGCUGCACUUCUAUUUUUUCUUCUCUAUCUUUCUGGUGCACUCUAAAACUACCUUCAGAAAAUGCUCUCUAUUUUCUGCACAUUUUACAACUCUCCUUCCGUUUCUCUCAUUUCCAAAACGGCAACAAGUGGGAGGACAAAAGCUGAAUUUUCUACCUUUGAAAAAGCCAAAGAAAAAGGAAACAUAAUCAUUUGUCUCCUCAUAAUGAUGUUCCCACAUCAUUAUGUCCAUCAUUUUUAUUAUAUGCUUUUGGCCACUUGGCCACUAAUUCAACAAUUUCCACCUUGGCCAAGUUUCGAAAAUGCCAUGAUAAGCCAACCAACACAAUCAACACAAAAAUUCAUUCUCAAAUACUAGCAAGAGAACAACUCAUGCCAAGCCAAAUGCUCCAAAACUCCUACUGCUCAACGCCUUCUUUAUAUAGGCAUAAUGUGAGCCAAGUUCAAGCAGUGAACAAACUUGGCUACACCAACAACCUUAGUCAACAUAUCAUCAGGGUUGUCUUUAGUUGAAAUCUUCUGGAGAAUGAUCUCUCAUUCACCAACGACUUCAUGCACAAAGUGAUAAUGCACAUCUAUGUGCUUGGUCCUCACAUGAUGAACCUGAUACUUAGCUAAAUAAAUGGCACUCUGACUAUCACAAUGUACCUCCACCUACUUCUGAUCAACCCCUAAAUCUUUAAUCAGCCCAUGUAUCCAAAUGACCUCCUUUAUAACUCCAGCAACUACCAUAUAUUCAGCCUCUGUAGUAGACAAGGCAACAGACGACUGCAAAAUGGACCUUUAACAAACUGGCCCUUUAGCCAUAGUAAACACAUAGCCUGUAGCAAACUUUCUUCCAUCCAGAUCACCUGCAUAAUCUAAAUUAACAUAACUAACUGCAAAAUGACCAAUACCAGAGUCAUCUCUCUCAAAGCAUAAACCAACGUCUCGAGUACCAUGGAGAUACCUCAAUGUCCACUUAGCUGCUUACCAAUGCUCUUUACCUGGAUUAUGCAUAUAUCGACUCACCAUGCCAACUGCAUGAGCAAUAUCCGGUCUAAAGCAUACCAUUGCAUACAUCAAACUACCAACCAAAUUUGCAUAUGGUAUAUUUUUCAUUUGCAGCUUCUCUUUAUCAGUUUUAGGACAUUGUAGAGAACUCAAUUUAAAAUGACUAACUGGCUUGGUUGAAUCAUAAACUCCAAACUUCUAAAUCAACUUCUCAAGGUAUUGUCUUUGAUUCAAACUGACCAAACCUUUCUCUCUAUCUCUAGUGAUUUCCAUGCCAAGAUCCUUCAUCUCAAACUCAUUCUUCAUUUGCUUCUUCAAUUUCUCAAUUUCUUCGGCAUUCUUUGAGGCAAUCAACAUAUCAUUAACAUAUAUUAACAAAUAAAUGAAAGACCCAUCUUGCAACUUCUUGAAGUACACAUAAUGAUCAUAUUGACUUCUAAAAUAAUUUUGGCCUCUCAUAAAUUUAUCAAACCUCAAAUACCAUUGCCUUGGAGAUUGUUUCAAUCCAUAAAGUGAUUUCUUCAAUUUGCAAAACAAAUUUUCCUUCCCUUUCACUGUAUACCUAUCCGGUUGACACAUAUAGAACUCUUCAUUCAAAUCACCAUGUAGGAAAGCCGUCUUCACAUCGAGUUGCACAAGCUCAAGAUCAUAUUGUGCAACAAGAGCUAACACAAUGCGAAUUGAAGAGUGCUUCACAACCGGAGAAAAGAUUUCGUUGUAGUCAAUGCUCUCCUUUUGUGCAUACCCUUUAGCAACUAAUCUUGCUUUGAAUCUCACAUUGCUUUUCUCAUCAGCACCUUCCUUCUUGGCAUACACCCAUUUGCAACCGAUGGCUUUCUUGCCGUUAGGCAAUUUAGCUAACUCCCAAGUCUUGUUCUUCAAGAGAGAAUUCAUCUCAUCAUCCAUGGCAUUGCACCACCUCUCCUUUUCUUCACUCCCAAUAUUUUCCUCAAAAUUGAAUAGAAUCUCAUCAGUGAUAAUAGGAUGAGUAAAAGAACCAUAGUCACUAUACCGAGCUGGCUUAAUAAUUUGUCUCUUUCCUCUGUUCUUGGCAAUAAACUCUUGAGGUGAAACUUCCUCUUCAACUUGAAUAGAAUCUUCAAGUUCAACUUCUUCAACAUCCUCAUGGUCUCCAACUUCUUCACUUGUAGUAGCUUCGACAUCAGCAGAAAUAGGACUUGAAAUACGAGAGGCAACUUUCUCAAGCUCCACCUGUUAGACAUCUUUCACAUUCUUCUUAGAGUCUUUGUACAUACUUUCUUCAUCAAAUGUCACAUCUCUGCUAAUUACAAGUUUCUUCAUCUCUAGGCACCACAAUCUAUAACCUUUGACACCACUACUAAAACCAAGAAAGAUAGCAUUUUUGGCUCUAGGAUCAAGUUUAUUUUCAAUCACAUGAAGAUAAGCAGGUGAACCAAAAAUACGGAUAUAGUCAUAAUCAGAAGAAGGGUUUCCAUUCCAUACCUUCAUUGGUGUCUUACCCUGAACAGCAACUGAGGGUAACCGGUUGAUGAUGUGACAUGCAUAAUUAAUUGCCUCUGCCCAAAAUGACUUGCUCAAACACGACUGAGACAACAUGCAUCUAACCUUCUCAAGCAAGCUUUGAUUCAAUCUUUCUGCAACUUCAUUUUGUUGUGGAGUUCCCCGGACACUAAAAUGUCUCACAAUCCCUUCCUCUUUGCAAACUUUAAAAAAAGGGUCGGAUGUGUAUUCUCCACCAUUAUCCGAUCGCAAAAUUUUAAUCUUUCUCCCAGUUUGGUUCUCAACCAAUUUCUUCCAACUCAAGAAAAUGCUCAAUACCUCACUCUUAUGCUUCAUAGUGUAGACCCAAGACCUUCUUGAAUAAUCAUCAACAAAGGUCACGAACCAAUGUCUACAAUUCAAAGAGGGAGUCUUUGUAGGACCCCAAACAUCCAAAUGCACAUAAUCAAGAAUGCUCUUCGUCUAAUGUAUUGCAGUACCAAACUUCAUGCUAGUUUGCUUUCCCAAGACACAAUACUCGCAGAAAUCAAGCUUACAAAUCGUGGCACCUUUUAGAAGAUCUUUUUUCACAAGCCCUUGUAGAGCUUUCUCACUGGCAUGGCCUAAUCUCAUAUGCCACAAUCUAAUAGUAUCUGAAUCAGAUGUGCCCAUAUUUUUUUAGACUACAAACACUUCACCUGUCACGAUGCUUCCUUGCAAUAGAUUCAAAUGACCACAUCGAGGAGCUUUCAUCACAACAAGUGCACCAUAAGUAACUUUCAAUGUCUGCCCAUCUAAAUGAAACCUAAAGCCCUUGGAUUCUAAAGUGCCCAAAGAAAUAAGAUUUUUCUUCAAAUUCUGUACAUACUGAACACCUGUCAACUCUUUAACCAUGCCAUCAUGCAACUUUAAAUGAACUGUACCAAUCCCUUUUGUUGUACAAGGAUUGUCAUCUCCCUUGAAAACAACACCACCAUCAAAGUCUUUCAAGCUUGAAAACCAAUCCUUGUGAUGAGUCAUAUGAUGAGUACAACCCGUAUCCAACACCCAUUUAGUAGCACAAUCAAAUGAUGAGGAAGUGAUUAAAGCAAAAUCAAAAAAUUUGUUUCAACCUCAGCAACAUUGGCUUCAUCUUUCUUCCAAUGACCCUUAUUAUGACAAAAGGCACAUUCAUACAUUUCCAAGGUUUUUCUACCUUUAGAGUUUCCUCUAGGUCGAGAGUAUGAUUUUUUCUUACUAGAAGAGGACCUCCUCUCCGAUGAUCUACCUUUAACAAAUAAAGCUUCAAAGGUACUAUCAUGAUUUUUAUCUCUAUACCUCAUUUCAUAAUUCAUCAAGGCAUUUGACACAUCUUCAAAUUUCAUAGUUUCUUUACCAUGCAUAAUAGUGGUAACAAAAUGCUCAUAAGAGUCCGGCAAGGAACUCAACAAUAUUAAGGUCUUAUCUUCAUCUUUAAUAUCCUCAUCUAAAUUUAACAAGUCGGAAAUCAACUAAUUAAAAGCAUCAAGGCGUCUAAUCAUUUUUGUACCUUUUUUGUAUUGGAAGCGGUAGAGCUUUUUCUUCAAGUGUAGCUGGUUCUCUGCACUCUUCGUCAUAUACUUGUCUUCCAAUUUUUGCCACAACACACUUGCUACUGUCUCCCGCAUCACAAAAUACUUCUGAGUUUUUGCAAGGCAUAACCGAAUUGAAGAGCAAGCCCACAAAUUUAAUUUCUCCCAUUCCGACUUCGACAUAGCUUCCAGCUUCUCUCCUAGAGCGGCAAGUAGAUCUUGUUGAGCCAACACAUCUUUGACCUCAAAUUGCCACAUCCCAUUGUUUGUGCCAUCAAACUUUUCCACUUCGAACUUUGCAUUUUGCACCGUAGUUCUUGCAAACCUGGAGCUACUUCCAAAAGGAUUCUCAUCUUGUCCGUCUGACAUCUUUGGCAACUAGACAGUACCCAAGAGCAGCCAGUGUUCUGAUAUCAAUUGUUGUGCUAGGAUAGCACCAAACCCGUUGGAACCAACUCAAGCUAACCCACAGGAAAUAUAUCAAAUGGAAUGCAAAAACAAAAUAUAAAGGACACCAAGAUUUUAACGAGGUUCCUCAACAGUCAGUGUAACUGGAGUACGUCCUCGGAGUAGUAGGAGCUCACCCAAUAAUCCACUAUCAACCAAAUGAGAGUUUACAAAGUGUUGGCAAGCUCACAACCCAAAACCCCAAUACAACCACUAGCUCUCACACACCAAAGAAACAAAUAGAGAAAGAAAUAUUGUGAAUAAUUUCUUCUCUAUACAAAGCUCAAAGCUAUUACAAUAACAACUACCUUGGUGGGUGAUUACUAACCAAAGAGAAGAGCUCCUUCUUCUUCUCUUCAAAGAGGGGCUGCUGCACUUCUAUUUUUUCUGCUAUGUUUUUCUGGUGCACUCUACAACUACCUUCAGAAAUGCUUUCUAUUUUCUGCACCUUUUACAACUCUCCUUCCGUUUCUCUCAUUUCCAAAAAUGCAACAAGUGGGGGGACAAAAGCUGAAUUUUCUACCUUUGAAAAAGCCAAAGCAAAAGAAAACAUAAUCAUUUGUCUCCUCAUAAUGAAGUUCCCACAUCAUUAUGUCCAUCAUUUUUAUUAUAUGCUUUUGACCACUUGGCCACUAAUUCAACAACACAUUGGAGAGGGAAGAUGCAGCAAGAUAAGCCAUGGUGAGUGAAGAAAUUUUCGUUGCACUGGGAGAGGGUGAUACCAUGAAAGAAUUGUGCUCGAUGGGUGAGUAGUCAUUGUAUUUCACUAUAUAUAUAGAACGGGUGACGAACAAACUCUUCAAAACUAAAAAAAUUAUGAACAUAAUUUUGAGAAAGCUACAUUUAAAAUCGAACAACAUUUGACAGUUUCAGCAUCCCAAAGGAUUGUACUGUUGAUAAAGUUGUGGCAAGUGUUGAGGUGAGGAUAUCACUUAAGUCAUUUGCGGCUGCGUUUGCAUAGAUGUGGUGGGAUAUAUAAUAUUCAGAUUUGGUUUACCAUGGGCAGCCUGUAAUGCAUUAUGUUUUGAGGAAUCGUCUCGUCAUGUUUCUUUUAUUGUUCAUGAUAUUAAGUUACAGCUGAUUGAGAUUGAUUCUUUGAGCAUAGCUACCAUGCGAAAACUCCAUGUCUGAUCUUUGUCUCCUUCGUGCCAUGGGAGUUAAGGUCGUCCAGCUAAGGCUCCUCAUAUUUAUGAGGUUCUGUGGUUGCCUCCUCCUGUAUCUUGGAUUAAUUUUACCAUAGAUGGCACGGCUCUUGGUGCCCUUGGUUUGGUGGGAAGUGGGGGUGUUUUUGGAGACCAAUUUGGCAACGGUUUACACUGUUUUGCAUCUUCAAAAGACAUGCUUAUUCUUUAGAACGAGAGUUUCAUGCAGUUAUUUAAGCCAUGGAUUAAUCUUGGGCAAAAGGUUGAAAUUUUUUGUCAAUUGAAUGUGAUUCUUUUUUAGUGGUCCUUUAUCUUUCUUUGCUUCUGGCAAGAUUUCCUGGCAUCCGUGUGUUCCUUGGAUUAAUUGCCUUGUUUUUUCUCUCCCAAAUGCACGUUUAUGUCACUCAUAUUUUUGGACAUGGUUAUGCAGUUGUUCACAGUUUUGGCUAAUUUCGGUGUGGAUCAUUCUGGGAAUUUAUAUUUGGAUUCUUGCCCCCCUUGUCCAACUUUUGCUUACAUUUGUAACUUUUCUUCAUGACCUAAUUUUAGGUUUUGCUUGUAUGGUCCUUGAUAUUUUGUUUCCUUUGUGUCGAGUGAAAGAGGUUUGGUUUCCUUUUUCUUUUCUUUCACUGAUUUUAGCUUGAUGCUUGUCAGCUUUUCUCUACAUGUACUUUAUUGUUAUGAACUCUUAGAUUGUACUGGCUCAAUGAGCUCUAUUUUUCUGCCAAAAAAACAAGGGGUGUGAUAUCCACAAAUCCCAUUUUACUUCUCACACACUUUUUUAAUUUUCGGCCGUCGGAUCGGAUGAAUUGAAGAAGAUCAACAGAUAGAAAUUAUCAAGGGUGUGUGAGAAAUAAAAUAGGAUGCGUGGAUAGCACAUCCCAAAAACAAUUACUAUUGCUUUUGCUUUAUAAUUUAUUAAAGGGAAGUGGCAUGUCAUGCUUGAAGAAAAGAACUCCUCUGCCUUUCAAAAGAUAACAAUUCAGGAAAAAAAAAAAAGUUAUAACAGUAAAAGAAAACAAAAAUUCUCCUUAUAAUGGAUCAAAAGAAAAAACCAAAAGAGAUAUGAUGGAUGAAAAAUCCCAGGUAAGUGCCUUUAAGUUUCUGGUAAACAAAUAGCUAAGCCAGAUGGAAAUAUGGACAAGAAAAUUGGGUGGUAUCCUUAAUGGAUAACAAAUCAAAGUGCCACACAGAGGAAACGAAUAAAAGAAUAAAAUACAACAAAGCAAGAGCUAGUCGCAAUACAAAUGCUCUGCGAAUUAUGUAGCCUGGAUCCCUAUCGACUAUGAUCACUUGCACCGUAAACUUUUGAGGGUCUUUGAUGACAGAUCAAAUGCAAUUGUACAAUCCAUGGUGGAGGACUUCUUCUUCUUCAUUAUAAGCAUCAGUUCCACCUUUCCAUUCAACUUAGCCGCGCUGUUGAGAGUCAAUACGCCACUGGACAGUUCACUCCCAAGAUUGGAACCGCCUAAUGCACUUGAACUCAAGCUCACUUCGACAGUGAUCUUUUUGGUGGAAAGCAUGCCAGCCUUGCUCUUUGGAAUAGAAACUUGCCCGACAGUCGCUCCUUUGUACAAAAACGUAACACUGCUAGCAUCGAACUUGUAAGGACCCCAAUUUGUGUUCUUCACAUUGAUUUGGGUUGUGAAUUUUGUGUCGAAUGAAGGUGUUGCUGGGAUGGAGUUGAGUUCUUGUACGUUGAUGUUCCCCAGCCGGACCUUUGGCGUUUUAACUUUCAUGACAGUAAGGCUAAUCACGGUUAUGACGAUGAUCUGAAACACAAUGAAAAUAGCAACAUAAAUGGCCAAUUUGAU